This 76-nucleotide transfer RNA is filed under the name Escherichia coli. RNAcentral's name for it is "tRNA-Lys". It matches the Rfam family "tRNA". From Rfam's summary of the family: Transfer RNA (tRNA) molecules are approximately 80 nucleotides in length. The record is from RNAcentral. RNAcentral also lists the same sequence under 3 other names. Lineage: Bacteria; Pseudomonadati; Pseudomonadota; Gammaproteobacteria; Enterobacterales; Enterobacteriaceae.
GGGUCGUUAGCUCAGUUGGUAGAGCAGUUGUCUUUUAAUCAAUUGGUCGCAGGUUCGAAUCCUGCACGACCCACCA